RNAcentral lists this microRNA precursor (59 nucleotides) under Xenoturbella bocki. Its description in RNAcentral is "Xbo-Mir-29-P2_pre stem-loop". The record is from RNAcentral. Lineage: Eukaryota; Metazoa; Xenacoelomorpha; Xenoturbellidae.
ACUGGUUUCAUGUGGAAGCCAGUUGUAUUGUGGACACUAGCACCACGUGAAAUCAGCGU